AACGAACGCUGGCGGCAUGCCUAACACAUGCAAGUCGAACGCCUAUAGCAAUAUAGGAGUGGCGCACGGGUGAGUAACGCGUGGGAACCUGCCCCGAGGUGGGGGAUAACCGAUGGAAACGUCGGCUAAUACCGCAUACGUCCUAAGGGAGAAAGAUUUAUCGCCUUGGGAGGGGCCCGCGUCGGAUUAGCUAGUUGGUGGGGUAACGGCCUACCAAGGCGAUGAUCCGUAGCUGGUCUGAGAGGAUGAUCAGCCACACUGGGACUGAGACACGGCCCAGACUCCUACGGGAGGCAGCAGUGGGGAAUAUUGGACAAUGGGCGCAAGCCUGAUCCAGCAAUGCCGCGUGAGGGAUGAAGGCC
RNAcentral lists this ribosomal RNA (362 nucleotides) under uncultured bacterium. RNAcentral's name for it is "bacterial SSU rRNA". It matches the Rfam family "Bacterial small subunit ribosomal RNA", at positions 29 to 416 of the family's 1533-position model. The record is from RNAcentral.